Molecule: ribosomal RNA, 253 nt
Filed under: uncultured bacterium
Lineage: Bacteria
Description: partial 16S ribosomal RNA
Rfam family: Bacterial small subunit ribosomal RNA
Source: RNAcentral
UACGAAGGGGGCUAGCGUUGCUCGGAAUCACUGGGCGUAAAGAGUGCGUAGGCGGGUCUUUAAGUCAGGGGUGAAAUCCUGGAGCUCAACUCCAGAACUGCCUUUGAUACUGAGGAUCUUGAGUUCGGGAGAGGUGAGUGGAACUGCGAGUGUAGAGGUGAAAUUCGUAGAUAUUCGCAAGAACACCAGUGGCGAAGGCGGCUCACUGGCCCGAUACUGACGCUGAGGCACGAAAGCGUGGGGAGCAAACAGG